RNAcentral lists this ribosomal RNA (363 nucleotides) under Triticum aestivum (bread wheat). RNAcentral describes it as "partial small subunit ribosomal RNA". Lineage: Eukaryota; Viridiplantae; Streptophyta; Magnoliopsida; Poales; Poaceae. The record is from RNAcentral.
GUUGCUAGCUGAGUGGUUGCGGAUAUCUUCCAUGUGAUAAUCCCUCUCAUAAAUGGUUCUAGUAAUUUGGUUCUUCUCAAUCAAAUUGUAGCGUGUGUUCCUGCUGCUCACAUCUUCUAUUCUUGAUUUGAGAUCACGGAUUUGUAUGGCGAUUCGAUGGCGAUCUUUGAGCUUCAUCAGUUCUUGCGACAAGCUUUGACUGGCCACAUGCACCAUGAAUUCACUAAGACAAUCUUCAAUAUUGUAGGAUGUAUCCCUUACUUGCUUUGCCCACACCUUCAGUAGCAUGUCUUUCUCCUUAAUUCCUUCAGCGACCAGUAGGAAUGUUUGCAUUGUCUCUAGCUCGUCUUUGAUAAACCUGCC